This 2923-nucleotide ribosomal RNA is filed under the name Klebsiella pneumoniae. RNAcentral's name for it is "23S ribosomal RNA". It matches the Rfam family "Bacterial large subunit ribosomal RNA". Lineage: Bacteria; Pseudomonadati; Pseudomonadota; Gammaproteobacteria; Enterobacterales; Enterobacteriaceae. The record is from RNAcentral.
GGGUUGUGAGGUUAAGCGACUAAGCGUACACGGUGGAUGCCCUGGCAGUCAGAGGCGAUGAAGGACGUGCUAAUCUGCGAAAAGCGUCGGUAAGGUGAUAUGAACCGUUAUAACCGGCGAUGUCCGAAUGGGGAAACCCAGUGCAAUUCGUUGCACUAUCGUUAACUGAAUACAUAGGUUAACGAGGCGAACCGGGGGAACUGAAACAUCUAAGUACCCCGAGGAAAAGAAAUCAACCGAGAUUCCCCCAGUAGCGGCGAGCGAACGGGGAGCAGCCCAGAGUCUGAAUCAGCUUGUGUGUUAGUGGAACGGUCUGGAAAGUCCGACGGUACAGGGUGAUAGUCCCGUACACCAAAAUGCACAGGUUGUGAACUCGAAGAGUAGGGCGGGACACGUGGUAUCCUGUCUGAAUAUGGGGGGACCAUCCUCCAAGGCUAAAUACUCCUGACUGACCGAUAGUGAACCAGUACCGUGAGGGAAAGGCGAAAAGAACCCCGGCGAGGGGAGUGAAAAAGAACCUGAAACCGUGUACGUACAAGCAGUGGGAGCACCUUCGGGUGUGACUGCGUACCUUUUGUAUAAUGGGUCAGCGACUUAUAUUCUGUAGCAAGGUUAACCGUAUAGGGGAGCCGCAGGGAAACCGAGUCUUAACUGGGCGUUAAGUUGCAGGGUAUAGACCCGAAACCCGGUGAUCUAGCCAUGGGCAGGUUGAAGGUUGGGUAACACUAACUGGAGGACCGAACCGACUAAUGUUGAAAAAUUAGCGGAUGACUUGUGGCUGGGGGUGAAAGGCCAAUCAAACCGGGAGAUAGCUGGUUCUCCCCGAAAGCUAUUUAGGUAGCGCCUCGUGAACUCAUCUUCGGGGGUAGAGCACUGUUUCGGCUAGGGGGUCAUCCCGACUUACCAACCCGAUGCAAACUACGAAUACCGAAGAAUGUUAUCACGGGAGACACACGGCGGGUGCUAACGUCCGUCGUGAAGAGGGAAACAACCCAGACCGCCAGCUAAGGUCCCAAAGUCAUGGUUAAGUGGGAAACGAUGUGGGAAGGCACAGACAGCCAGGAUGUUGGCUUAGAAGCAGCCAUCAUUUAAAGAAAGCGUAAUAGCUCACUGGUCGAGUCGGCCUGCGCGGAAGAUGUAACGGGGCUAAACCAUGCACCGAAGCUGCGGCAGCGACACUAUGUGUUGUUGGGUAGGGGAGCGUUCUGUAAGCCUGCGAAGGUGUGCUGUGAGGCAUGCUGGAGGUAUCAGAAGUGCGAAUGCUGACAUAAGUAACGAUAAAGCGGGUGAAAAGCCCGCUCGCCGGAAGACCAAGGGUUCCUGUCCAACGUUAAUCGGGGCAGGGUGAGUCGACCCCUAAGGCGAGGCCGAAAGGCGUAGUCGAUGGGAAACAGGUUAAUAUUCCUGUACUUGGUGUUACUGCGAAGGGGGGACGGAGAAGGCUAUGUUAGCCGGGCGACGGUUGUCCCGGUUUAAGCAUGUAGGCUGGUUAUCCAGGCAAAUCCGGAUAAUCAAGGCUGAGGUGUGAUGACGAGGCACUACGGUGCUGAAGUAACAAAUGCCCUGCUUCCAGGAAAAGCCUCUAAGCAUCAGGUAACAUUAAAUCGUACCCCAAACCGACACAGGUGGUCAGGUAGAGAAUACCAAGGCGCUUGAGAGAACUCGGGUGAAGGAACUAGGCAAAAUGGUGCCGUAACUUCGGGAGAAGGCACGCUGGUGUGUAGGUGAAGCCCCUGCGGGUGGAGCUGAGACCAGUCGAAGAUACCAGCUGGCUGCAACUGUUUAUUAAAAACACAGCACUGUGCAAACACGAAAGUGGACGUAUACGGUGUGACGCCUGCCCGGUGCCGGAAGGUUAAUUGAUGGGGUUAUCCGUAAGGAGAAGCUCUUGAUCGAAGCCCCGGUAAACGGCGGCCGUAACUAUAACGGUCCUAAGGUAGCGAAAUUCCUUGUCGGGUAAGUUCCGACCUGCACGAAUGGCGUAAUGAUGGCCAGGCUGUCUCCACCCGAGACUCAGUGAAAUUGAACUCGCUGUGAAGAUGCAGUGUACCCGCGGCAAGACGGAAAGACCCCGUGAACCUUUACUAUAGCUUGACACUGAACAUUGAGCCUUGAUGUGUAGGAUAGGUGGGAGGCUUUGAAGCGUGGACGCCAGUCUGCGUGGAGCCAACCUUGAAAUACCACCCUUUAAUGUUUGAUGUUCUAACGUUGGCCCCUGACCGGGGUUGCGGACAGUGUCUGGUGGGUAGUUUGACUGGGGCGGUCUCCUCCCAAAGCGUAACGGAGGAGCACGAAGGUUAGCUAAUCCUGGUCGGACAUCAGGAGGUUAGUGCAAUGGCAUAAGCUAGCUUGACUGCGAGCGUGACGGCGCGAGCAGGUGCGAAAGCAGGUCAUAGUGAUCCGGUGGUUCUGAAUGGAAGGGCCAUCGCUCAACGGAUAAAAGGUACUCCGGGGAUAACAGGCUGAUACCGCCCAAGAGUUCAUAUCGACGGCGGUGUUUGGCACCUCGAUGUCGGCUCAUCACAUCCUGGGGCUGAAGUAGGUCCCAAGGGUAUGGCUGUUCGCCAUUUAAAGUGGUACGCGAGCUGGGUUUAGAACGUCGUGAGACAGUUCGGUCCCUAUCUGCCGUGGGCGCUGGAGAAUUGAGGGGGGCUGCUCCUAGUACGAGAGGACCGGAGUGGACGCAUCACUGGUGUUCGGGUUGUCAUGCCAAUGGCACUGCCCGGUAGCUAAAUGCGGAAGAGAUAAGUGCUGAAAGCAUCUAAGCACGAAACUUGCCCCGAGAUGAGUUCUCCCUGAGACUAUAAGUCUCCUGAAGGAACGUUGAAGACGACGACGUUGAUAGGCCGGGUGUGUAAGCGCAGCGAUGCGUUGAGCUAACCGGUACUAAUGAACCGUGAGGCUUAACCUUACAACGCCGAAG